GUAGUUGUAUAGCUGUUGGAUUGAUUGUUUGGGUUUAUUUGCCUUUUGCAUCAUGCUUGGUGGAGUUUUAUAAAUUAUGUUUUGAAACCGAAAGGCUCUGAUUUUGAAUUUGAUUGUUUAGAAUUAUUGUUAAACCCGGGUAGGGUUUUGAAAAUUGAAUUUAUGGGGUGAUAAGUAAGUCGUAGAGCUUUAUAGCUGUUUAGUUGUUGAGUGGUUAUUUUUAUGUGUAUGGCUAUUAGGUCAUUUAUAAGUUUAUACAGUGUGUAUUAUAUGUGUAUUGGUUAUAAUAAGGCUAGAGGUACCUGAUUUUUGUUAUAUUGUUGCAAAUAUGGUUUAGUUAAGGUUGGUUAUGUUAAUUUUUUGGACAACUAUUUAUUAUAUUUGGUAUUGUAUUAUCGCUAAAUAAGUAAUAUUAUCAUACUGUUUAUUUCUCGAGCCCUUUCCGUCUGUUUAUUAAAAACAUUUCUAACUUUGAUUAUAGUUGGUAGUGCCUGCCCAAUGUUUGUUAGUUAAUUAAUGGCCGCAGUAUAUUGACUGUGCAAAGGUAGCAUAAUUAAUUGCCUUUUAAUUGGAGGCUUGUUUGAAUGGUUUGACGUGAUUGGUGUUAAUAUUUAGUAUAUAAUUGAAAUUGAUUUUAAGGGUUAAGAAUCCUUUGUGUUUAAUAAGACGGAAAGACCCUAGGAUCUUUUGUUUUUGUUUGGGGCGAAUUUUGGUGUUUCAUGAAUAUUAUGACCCUAAAGUGUAUUGGUUUAUUGAGUUAAGUUACCCUAGGGAUAACAGUGUAAUGGUUAAUUAGAGAUCUUAUCGAAUUAAUUGUUUGCCACCUCGAUGUUGACUUAGGCUAAGGUCUUGGUGCAGUAGUUGAGAUUUUAGGUCUGUUCGACCUUUUAGCCUCCAUGAGUUGAGUUGAGACCGGCGUGAGCCAGGUCGGUUCUUAUCUAUUGUAGAAGUUUAUUAGUACGAAAGGACAGUAAAUUUUUUUGUU
RNAcentral lists this ribosomal RNA (985 nucleotides) under Echinococcus shiquicus. RNAcentral's name for it is "large subunit rRNA". The stretch from base 661 to 943 matches the Rfam family "Bacterial large subunit ribosomal RNA", at positions 2074 to 2646 of the family's 2925-position model. The record is from RNAcentral. Lineage: Eukaryota; Metazoa; Platyhelminthes; Cestoda; Cyclophyllidea; Taeniidae.